This 406-nucleotide ribosomal RNA is filed under the name uncultured bacterium. RNAcentral's name for it is "partial 16S ribosomal RNA". It matches the Rfam family "Bacterial small subunit ribosomal RNA", at positions 29 to 526 of the family's 1533-position model. The record is from RNAcentral.
AAUGAACGCUGGCGGCAGGCCUAACACAUGCAAGUCGAACGAGUGGCGGACGGGUGAGUAAUGUCUGGGCAACUGCCUGCCGGAGGGGGAUAACUACUGGAAAAGGUAGCUAAUACCGCAUACCAUCAGAUGUGCCCAGAUGGGUUUAGCUUGUUGGUGGGGUAACGGCUCACCAAGGCGACCAUCCCUAGCUGGUCUGAGAGGAUGACCAGCCACGCGGGACAUGAGACAAGGUCCAGACACCUACGGGAGGCAGCGGAGGGGAGUAGUGCACAAUGGGCGCAAGCCUGAUGCAGCCAUGCCGAGUGGAUGAAGAAGGCAUUGGGGUUGUAAAGUAAUUUCAGCGGUGAGGCGUUACCCGCAGAAGAAGGAACGGCUAACUCCGUGCCAGCAGCCGCGGUAAUAC